GAUGAACGCUGGCGGCGUGCCUAACACAUGCAAGUCGAGCGAUUCUCUUCGGAGAAGAGCGGCGGACGGGUGAGUAACGCGUGGGUAACCUGCCCUGUACACACGGAUAACAUACCGAAAGGUAUGCUAAUACGGGAUAAUAUAUGAAAGUCGCAUGGCUUUUAUAUCAAAGCUCCGGCGGUACAGGAUGGACCCGCGUCUGAUUAGCUAGUUGGUAAGGUAACGGCUUACCAAGGCGACGAUCAGUAGCCGACCUGAGAGGGUGAUCGGCCACACUGGAACUGAGACACGGUCCAGACUCCUACGGGAGGCAGCAGUGGGGAAUAUUGCACAAUGGGCGAAAGCCUGAUGCAGCAACGCCGCGUGAGCGAUGAAGGCCUUCGGGUCGUAAAGCUCUGUCCUCAAGGAAGAUAAUGACGGUACUUGAGGAGGAAGCCCCGGCUAACUACGUG
This 452-nucleotide ribosomal RNA is filed under the name uncultured bacterium. Its description in RNAcentral is "bacterial SSU rRNA". It matches the Rfam family "Bacterial small subunit ribosomal RNA", at positions 28 to 507 of the family's 1533-position model. The record is from RNAcentral.